UACGGAGGGUGCGAGCGUUAUUCGGAAUUACUGGGCGUAAAGGGCGCGUAGGCGGCCGCGCAAGUCUGGUGUGAAAGCCCAGGGCUUAACCCUGGAAGGGCACUGGAAACUGUGCGGCUUGAGUGCCGGAGAGGAGGGGGGAAUUCCCGGUGUAGCAGUGAAAUGCGUAGAUAUCGGGAGGAAUACCGGUGGCGAAGGCGCCCCUCUGGACGGUAACUGACGCUGAGGCGCGAAAGCGUGGGGAGCAAACAGG
RNAcentral lists this ribosomal RNA (253 nucleotides) under uncultured microorganism. RNAcentral's name for it is "partial 16S ribosomal RNA". It matches the Rfam family "Bacterial small subunit ribosomal RNA", at positions 524 to 776 of the family's 1533-position model. The record is from RNAcentral.